UUUUAUAUCAACUGUCUUAGACUUGUGAGCUCUCUGUCAGAGCUCAUAAAGUAAGCAGAGUCAGGCCAGGUCAGUACUUGGAUGGGAAACCUCUUUGACAGAAAAGCAAGCUAUAGUCAAGC
Molecule: ribosomal RNA, 122 nt
Filed under: Pelodiscus sinensis (Chinese soft-shelled turtle)
Lineage: Eukaryota; Metazoa; Chordata; Testudines; Trionychidae
Source: RNAcentral